GCUGGCGUAGCUCAACUGGCAGAGCAGCUGAUUUGUAAUCAGCAGGUUGGGGGUUCAAGCCCCUCCGCCAGCUCCA
This 76-nucleotide transfer RNA is filed under the name subsurface metagenome. RNAcentral describes it as "tRNA-Thr". It matches the Rfam family "tRNA". From Rfam's summary of the family: Transfer RNA (tRNA) molecules are approximately 80 nucleotides in length. Their secondary structure includes four short double-helical elements and three loops (D, anti-codon, and T loops). The record is from RNAcentral.